GAGGAAUAUUGGUCAAUGGCCUAAGGGCUGAACUGGCAAUUUGGGUAAACGAAACAGAAUUGUAACUUACUAAAAUAAAGUUUUAAGUACGUAUUAAUAAUGAUAAUAUGUAUAAAAGUCUUGACCAAUUACGUGCCAGCAGUCGCGGUAAUACGUAGGAGACGAGCAUUAUUCAUAUUAAAUAGGUUUAAAGGGUACCCAAACGGUCAAAAUACCUGAAAUAUAGGAGUACUUGACUAGAGUUAUAUGUAAGAAGACCGUACUUGAGGUGGAGAGAUUAUAUUUUAUGAUACCAAAAGGACUGAUAACGGCGAAGGCUGUCUUUUAUGUAAUAACUGACGUUGAAGGACGAAGGCAUAGAUAACUAACAGGAUUCGUUACCCUAGUAGUCUUUGCAGACAAUGAUGAAUGCCAUUAACUAGAUACUAAUUUUAGUUAUAUAAAUGAAAAUGAAAGCAUUUCACCUCAAGAGUAAUGUGGCAACGCAGGAACUGAAAUCACUAGACCGUUUCUGACACCAGUAGUGAAGUAUGUUAUUUAAUUCGAUGAUCCCCGGAAAGUUUC
This 564-nucleotide ribosomal RNA is filed under the name Colletotrichum gloeosporioides. Its description in RNAcentral is "SSU rRNA". It matches the Rfam family "Bacterial small subunit ribosomal RNA", at positions 356 to 972 of the family's 1533-position model. The record is from RNAcentral. Lineage: Eukaryota; Fungi; Ascomycota; Sordariomycetes; Glomerellales; Glomerellaceae.